Molecule: ribosomal RNA, 497 nt
Filed under: uncultured bacterium
Lineage: Bacteria
Description: partial 16S ribosomal RNA
Rfam family: Bacterial small subunit ribosomal RNA
Source: RNAcentral
GAUGAACGCUGGCGGCGUGCCUAAUACAUGCCAGUCGAGCGAACAGACGAGGAGCUUGCUCCUCUGACGUUAGCGGCGGACGGGUGAGUAACACGUGGAUAACCUACCUAUAAGACUGGGAUAACUUCGGGAAACCGGAGCUAAUACCGGAUAAUAUAUUGAACCGCAUGGUUCAAUAGUGAAAGACGGUUUUGCUGUCACUUAUAGAUGGGUCCGCGCCGCAUUAGCUAGUUGGUAAGGUAACGGCUUACCAAGGCAACGAUGCGUAGCCGACCUGAGAGGGUGAUCGGCCACACUGGAACUGAGACACGGUCCAGACUCCUACGGGAGGCAGCAGUAGGGAAUCUUCCGCAAUGAGCGAAAGCUUGACGGAGCAACGCCGCGUGAGUGAUGAAGGUCUUCGGAUCGUAAAACUCUGUUAUUAGGGAAGAACAAAUGUGUAAGUAACUAUGCACGUCUUGACGGUACCUAAUCAGAAAGCCACGGCUAACUACGUG